Molecule: non-coding RNA, 474 nt
Organism: Cinara cedri
Lineage: Eukaryota; Metazoa; Arthropoda; Insecta; Hemiptera; Aphididae
Source: the annotation of a GenBank genome assembly
UUUUGUUUUAACUUGUAAUGAUAGCAAUGUUUCUAAAAGGAAAUUUCACUAGGGAGGUACUGUAGAAUAGUCGUUUUUCGAUUUUCUCAGGAGUUUUUCCCAACAAAUGUGAAAAACCGGGAUGAAACAUGGGAAAACCGUAGAGAAACUGGAAAAAUCGGUACAACAUUAAACAAAUAUUAUUAAAGAAAAUAAAUAAAGCCUAUUUAAUUAUUAUACUAUAAAAUCACACAUAAAUUGUUAACAAAGCAUCACUGUCAACUGAACUCCGCUCAGAAUCAUUUUUUCGUAAGCAAUGGUUUAUCGUUAAAAAUAACUCGUUUUAAACGGUUCUAUAUUUAAUGACAGCGAAAAAUAACCCAAAAUCAAUUUUACUCGAAAUGUUUGUUGAUAAUCGUUGGAUCAUGGAUAAAAAAAAUUAAUAAUAAUAAUAAAUCACUCUAUAUACAUGACGACGACACUGACCUUGGCAAA